This 497-nucleotide ribosomal RNA is filed under the name uncultured bacterium. RNAcentral's name for it is "partial 16S ribosomal RNA". It matches the Rfam family "Bacterial small subunit ribosomal RNA", at positions 28 to 507 of the family's 1533-position model. The record is from RNAcentral.
GAUGAACGCUGGCGGCGUGCCUAAUACAUGCAAGUCGAGCGAACAGACGAGGCGCUCGCUCCUCUGACGUUAGCGGCGGUCGGGUGAGUAACACGUGGAUAACCUACCUAUAAGACUGGGAUAACUUCGGGAAACCGUAACUAAUACCGGAUAAUAUAUUGAACCUCUUGGUUCAAUAGUGUAAGACGGUUUUGCUGUAACUUAUAGAUUGAUCCCCGCCGGAUUAGAUAGUUGGUAAGGUAACGGCUUACCAAGGCGACGAUGUGUAGCCGAACUGAGAGGCAGGUCGGCCACAAAGGGACAGAGGAACAGACCAUACCGCUGAGGGAGGAACCAGAAGGGACUCUUACGCAAGGGGCGAAGGCGUUACAGUGCAACAAGGCGGAAGUAAUGAAGGAGAUAGGAUGGUUGAACUAUGUUAAUAGGGAAGAACAAAUGUGUAGGUAACUCUGCUCGUCAUGACGGUACCUGCGCAGAAAGCCACGGCUAACUCCGUG